AAGUCGUAACAAGGUUUCCUGUAGGUGAACCUGCGGAAGGAUCAUUUCAAGUGAGGCUACCCGAAACGCUGGAAACAGCGGUUUAGGAGCUUACACCCACCCGUGUUUAUCAUACUAUUGUUGCUUUGGCGGGCCGUGGCCUCCACUGCGGGCUCUGCUCGUGUGUGCCCGCCAGAGGACCAAACUCUUGAAUGUUAGUGAUGUCUGAGUUACUAUUCUAAUAGUUAAAAU
RNAcentral lists this unclassified non-coding RNA (231 nucleotides) under plant metagenome. Its description in RNAcentral is "partial contains small subunit ribosomal RNA and internal transcribed spacer 1". The stretch from base 1 to 47 matches the Rfam family "Eukaryotic small subunit ribosomal RNA", at positions 1786 to 1831 of the family's 1831-position model. The record is from RNAcentral.